Long non-coding RNA from Pogoniulus pusillus (Red-fronted tinkerbird), 458 nucleotides. RefSeq lists it as uncharacterized. The record is from RefSeq and is a predicted model, not a curated record. The transcript has 2 exons. NCBI's taxonomy places the organism in Eukaryota, Metazoa, Chordata, Aves, Piciformes, Lybiidae.
CAGUGGCUGGUGUUGCAGCAUUAUGAGAAGAGGAGGUUAAAAAUGGGCUUCUGCAAUCAAUCGAGACAAAAUAUCCACCAGAUGAAGGCAGAGGAAGGAGACUGCAGCAGCUUGCCAGAGUUGUCACACGCCUUGAUGUCUUUGAACUUCUUCCUUGGAAGCUGCUGAAAUCCUUCAUGCAACUGCUCCACUUGGGCAUAAUCCAGGAAGAGCUUUCUCCAGCUGCUUUGGUUUAUUAUGUAUUGGCUCCCAGAAUUUGAGAUCACAAGUCAAGCAAAAAGGCUAAAUGUAGAUGCAUACAGAACAGCCAGCACUCUUGGAGUCUGUGCGCCAGGAAGCCCCCCUGACCUCCUCUCAGUGCUAAUGUUCUUCAAGUUGCUUUCAAGACCUCUGGGAUUUUGACUCUUGACGAUAACAGGCCAAUAAAUGUCAUGCUGCAUUUAUAAGACAAAGGAAAA